This 492-nucleotide ribosomal RNA is filed under the name uncultured bacterium. RNAcentral's name for it is "partial 16S ribosomal RNA". It matches the Rfam family "Bacterial small subunit ribosomal RNA", at positions 29 to 507 of the family's 1533-position model. The record is from RNAcentral.
AGUGAACGCUGGCGGUAGGCCUAACACAUGCAAGUCGAACGGCAGCACAGUAAGAGCUUGCUCUUACGGGUGGCGAGUGGCGGACGGGUGAGGAAUACAUCGGAAUCUACUUUUUCGUGGGGGAUAACGUAGGGAAACUUACGCUCAUACCGCAUACGACCUACGGGUGAAAGCAGGGGAUCUUCGGACCUUGCGCGAUUGAAUGAGCCGAUGUCGGAUUAGCUAGUUGGCGGGGUAAAGGCCCACCAAGGCGACGAUCCGUAGCUGGUCUGAGAGGAUGAUCAGCCACACUGGAACGGAGACACGGUCCAGACUCCUACGGGAGGCAGCAGUGGGGAAUAUUGGACAAUGGGCGCAAGCCUGAUCCAGCCAUACCGCGUGGGUGAAGAAGGCCUUCGGGUUGUAAAGCCCUUUUGUUGGGAAAGAAAAGCAGCAGGUUAAUACCCCGCUGUUCUGACGGUACCCAAAGAAUAAGCACCGGCUAACUUCGUG